RNAcentral lists this ribosomal RNA (422 nucleotides) under uncultured fungus. RNAcentral's name for it is "eukaryotic LSU rRNA". It matches the Rfam family "Eukaryotic large subunit ribosomal RNA", at positions 1 to 419 of the family's 3401-position model. Lineage: Eukaryota; Fungi. The record is from RNAcentral.
UUGACCUCGGAUCAGGCAGGGAUACCCGCUGAACUUAAGCAUAUCAAUAAGCGGAGGAAAAGAAACCAACAGGGAUUGCCUCAGUAACGGCGAGUGAAGCGGCAACAGCUCAAAUUUGAAAUCUGGCUCUUUUAGGGUCCGAGUUGUAAUUUGUAGAGGAUGCUUCGGCGUGGGCUCCGGUCUAAGUUCCUUGGAACAGGACGUCAUAGAGGGUGAGAAUCCCGUAUGUGAUCGGUUGCCUUUGCCAUGUGAAGCUCCUUCGACGAGUCGAGUUGUUUGGGAAUGCAGCUCUAAAUGGGAGGUAAAUUUCUUCUAAAGCUAAAUACUGGCCAGAGACCGAUAGCGCACAAGUAGAGUGAUCGAAAGAUGAUAAGCACUUUGGAAAGAGAGUCAAAAAGUACGUGAAUUUGUUGAAAGGGAAA